CAACCAACGAAAGGAGGUGAUCCAGUGUCUCAUUGUCAUCAGCCGUGUGUCUCGGCUCAUCGGACCUGGACCGUCGCCUCCGGCGCGUCGCUCUAAGACGCGCUAGAGACCCGAUCUCGGGACAGUUCCGCCGGACGACACGGUUCGGCAAUGGAAGGGCCACCCUCUCGGGUGGCCCU
This is a non-coding RNA of Methylobacterium radiotolerans JCM 2831, 179 nucleotides long. NCBI's taxonomy places the organism in Bacteria, Pseudomonadati, Pseudomonadota, Alphaproteobacteria, Hyphomicrobiales, Methylobacteriaceae. The record is from Rfam.